GUUCCUGUAGUUAAAGGUUAACGAUGGUUUUUCAGGCCAUAGAUCCCGGAGAAGGGCCGGGCAGGAAUU
This 69-nucleotide transfer RNA is filed under the name Quelea quelea (red-billed quelea). RNAcentral describes it as "tRNA-Glu". Lineage: Eukaryota; Metazoa; Chordata; Aves; Passeriformes; Ploceidae. The record is from RNAcentral.